UGCCAGACUCCUACGGGAGGCAGCAGUGGGGAAUAUUGCACAAUGGGGGAAACCCUGAUGCAGCGACGCCGCGUGAGCGAUGAAGUAUUUCGGUAUGUAAAGCUCUAUCAGCAGAGGAGAAAAUGACGGUACCUGACUAAGAAGCCCCGGCUAACUACGUGCCAGCAGCCGCGGUAAUACGUAGGGGGCAAGCGUUAUCCGGAUUUACUGGGUGUAAAGGGAGCGUAGACGGCUGUGCAAGCCAGAUGUGAAAGCCCGGGGCUCAACCCCGGGACUGCAUUUGGAACUGUGUGGCUGGAGUGUCGGAGAGGCAGGCGGAAUUCCUAGUGUAGCGGUGAAAUGCGUAGAUAUUAGGAGGAACACCAGUGGCGAAGGCGGCCUGCUGGACGAUGACUGACGUUGAGGCUCGAAAGCGUGGGGAGCAAACAGGAUUAGAUACCCUUGUA
This 446-nucleotide ribosomal RNA is filed under the name uncultured bacterium. Its description in RNAcentral is "bacterial SSU rRNA". It matches the Rfam family "Bacterial small subunit ribosomal RNA", at positions 329 to 792 of the family's 1533-position model. The record is from RNAcentral.